Molecule: small nucleolar RNA, 69 nt
Organism: Fukomys damarensis (Damara mole-rat)
Lineage: Eukaryota; Metazoa; Chordata; Mammalia; Rodentia; Bathyergidae
Source: Ensembl
AAGUGAAAUGAUGGCACAUCAUCUUUCGGGACUGACCUGAAAUGAAGAGAAUACUCUCGCUGAUCACUU